GACGAACGCUGGCGGCGUGCCUAAUACAUGCAAGUCGAACGCAGUGGGGACGGGUGAGUAACACGUGGGUAACCUCCCAUCAGAGGGGAUAACACUUGGCAACAGGUGCUAAACCGAUACUGAUGGAUGCACCCGCGGUGCAUUCGCUAGUUGGUGAGGUAACGGCUCACCAAGGCCACGAUGCAUAGGCGACCUGAGAGGGUGAGAGGCCACACUGGGACUGAGACACGGCCCAGACUCCUACGGGAGGCAGCAGGAGGGAAGCUUAGGCAAUGGACGAAAGGCUGACCGAGAAACGCCGCGUGAGUGAAGAAGGUGUUCGGAUCGUAAAACGCUGUUGUUAGAGAAGCGGUAUCUAACCAGAAAGCCACGGCUAACUACGUGCCAGCCGCCGCGGUAAUAC
Molecule: ribosomal RNA, 403 nt
Filed under: uncultured bacterium
Lineage: Bacteria
Description: partial 16S ribosomal RNA
Rfam family: Bacterial small subunit ribosomal RNA
Source: RNAcentral